This 449-nucleotide ribosomal RNA is filed under the name uncultured bacterium. RNAcentral describes it as "partial 16S ribosomal RNA". It matches the Rfam family "Bacterial small subunit ribosomal RNA", at positions 29 to 523 of the family's 1533-position model. The record is from RNAcentral.
AACGAACGCUGGCGGCAUGCCUAACACAUGCAAGUCGAACGAAGGCUUCGGCCUUAGUGGCGCACGGGUGCGUAACGCGUGGGAAUCUGCCCCUCGGUUCGGAAUAACGGUUAGAAAUGACUGCUAAUACCGGAUGAUGUCGAAAGACCAAAGAUUUAUCGGCGAAGGAUGAGCCCGAGUAGGAUUAGGUAGUUGGUGGGGUAAAGGACUACCAAGCCGACGAUCCUUAGCUGGUCUGAGAGGAUGAUCAGCCACACUGGGACUGAGACACGGCCCAGACUCCUACGGGAGGCAGCAGUGGGGAAUAUUGGACAAUGGGCGAAAGCCUGAUCCAGCAAUGCCGCGUGAGUGAUGAAGGCCUUAGGGUUGUAAAGCUCUUUUACCAGGGAUGAUAAUGACAGUACCUGGAGAAUAAGCUCCGGCUAACUCCGUGCCAGCAGCCGCCGUAA